UUGCAAGAAACCUUCUCUCUCUCUCUCUCAUUAGAAAGUGGAAAUGGUUAAGAUUGUGGAAAGCAUGAAGAAAGGUUUAUUUAAUCUUGUUGACAUAGUAUCUUGUGGAAGCAAAGGAGCUAAAGAAAAACAUGAAGAGGAGCCAAAGCUUAACGUUGAGACAAAAUUACAAGUGACAACAGCAAGAGAUCCAGCAGAAUCAAAUAAACCAGGUGGUCCUUCUACUGAAUCAACUUAGAAGUUGAUAUCUUGAAAGAACAAAAAAAAGUUACCCCAUUCACCACUUCCUCAAUUUGUUGUUAUUUCUAUUUAAUGUUUAUUUGAGUUAUUUUAAAUAUCUAUAUUACUGCAAUAUUUCGAGA
Molecule: long non-coding RNA, 362 nt
Organism: Salvia splendens (bonfire salvia)
Lineage: Eukaryota; Viridiplantae; Streptophyta; Magnoliopsida; Lamiales; Lamiaceae
Exons: 3
Source: RefSeq, a predicted model, not a curated record